UCGGGAAUUUUGGGCAAUGGGGGCAACUCUGAACCAGCCAUGCCGCGUGCAGGAAGAAGGCCCUAUGGGUCGUAAACUGCUUUUGAACAAGAGAAAACCCCGGUACGUGUACUGGGUUGAUAGUAUUGUUAGAAUAAGCAUCGGCUAACUUCGUGCCAGCAGCCGCGGUAAGACGAAGGAUGCAAGCGUUAUCCGGAUUCAUUGGGUUUAAAGGGUGCGUAGGCGGACUGAUAAGUCAGUGGUGAAAUCUCUCGGCUUAACCGAGAAACUGCCAUUGAUACUGUUAGUCUAGAGUACAGAUGAUGUGGGCGGAAUAUGACAUGUAGUGGUGAAAUACUUAGAUAUGUCAUAGAACACCGAUUGCGAAGGCAGCUCACAAAACUGUAACUGACGCUGAGGCACGAAAGCCAGGGGAGCAAACGGGAUUAGAUACCCAUGUAGUCCCUGAGCGGGCUGGCAAGGCGCAU
This 467-nucleotide ribosomal RNA is filed under the name uncultured bacterium. RNAcentral's name for it is "bacterial SSU rRNA". It matches the Rfam family "Bacterial small subunit ribosomal RNA", at positions 355 to 825 of the family's 1533-position model. The record is from RNAcentral.